Molecule: ribosomal RNA, 442 nt
Filed under: uncultured bacterium
Lineage: Bacteria
Description: SSU rRNA
Rfam family: Bacterial small subunit ribosomal RNA
Source: RNAcentral
UNAUGGACGAGAGUCUGAACCAGCCAGUCGCGUGAGGGAUGAAGGUUCUAUCNGAUCGUAAACCUCUUUUAUAAGGGAAUAAAGUGCGGGACGUGUCCUGUUUUGUAUGUACCUUAUGAAUAAGGAUCGGCUAACUCCGUGCCAGCAGCCGCGGUAAUACGGAGGAUCCGAGCGUUAUCCGGAUUUAUUGGGUUUAAAGGGAGCGUAGAUGGAUGUUUAAGUCAGUUGUGAAAGUUUGCGGCUCAACCGUAAAAUUGCAGUUGAUACUGGAUAUCUUGAGUGCAGUUGAGGCAGGCGGAAUUCGUGGUGUAGCGGUGAAAUGCUUAGAUAUCACGAAGAACUCCGAUUGCGAAGGCAGCCUGCUAAGCUGCAACUGACAUUGAGGCUCGAAAGUGUGGGUAUCAAACAGGAUUAGAUACCCUGGUAGUCCAAGGGCGAAUUC